Molecule: long non-coding RNA, 1015 nt
Organism: Paramisgurnus dabryanus
Lineage: Eukaryota; Metazoa; Chordata; Actinopteri; Cypriniformes; Cobitidae
Source: RefSeq, a predicted model, not a curated record
GUUAACAAGAAAAUAAAGCUAAUUGUAGCUCGGUUAAAGUUGAACUUUGCAUUUUUCUUUUUAAACGCCAAAUUGGUGUAAAAUAUUGUCUUUCUGGACUCUUUGUGAAUGCAAUGUGUGUACUAAUUUGUGGGAGUACUACUACAUAUGUAAAAAGAGAGGUGUAAAUUAUUUUGUGGUUUAAAGGAUGCUGCAUGUAAAUUGUUACCCUUUAAAUUUUGGAUGUCAAAUAUAUUUAGAAGUUUGAUUGUAGGUACUACAGAAGCCUACCUCGUUCACCUCUUGGUUACAUUCCACCGAGUGUUUACUAGUUAUUGUCCUUUUUAUAAAUGUUCUUCUUAAAAAUCUUAUUAUGGUAAGGAUAAUGUAUUUGUUCCCUUCAGGUGUCUGCCACUGCAGUUGAUGUUGAGACAACUCUCAGUCUUCCUGCAAGUCCUCGCCUGAUACCUGUUUCAAGUGCUACAAGGCAAGUCACAAUUAAAGGUUGGAUGAUCACCUUUAAGGGCUGUGUAAUCUUUGAGGGCAUCACACCAACAUUUGCAAUUGGACUUGCUGCUAUGUUUGCAACCUACUACAUUUUCAGCCUUCAGUAACAAGAUGAGACAGCCUGCCCUGUGGAAUUCAAAAUUAAUGUGUUUGCGCUUCAUUGAUAUAAAUCCAGAGAGAGGGACAAAUGCCAAAAUCAUCAAGCAAGGUUGUCUCUAAGAAGAAAGGUGUGAUGGUCCAGAAGUCGUCUUCUGCAGUCAAAUACACAUGUGGCCAUGCUACUGAAGAAUCUCCUUGACUUUUUAAUGGAACUUCAUAUAGAUCUUGGCAGCACUGGAAUAGUGCUGCAGAGAGGAACAGCGGCUAUCAAAGUGAUGAUCGUCUCUUCAUCCACAAGAACUAAGAUGUAAAAACACAAACCAACCUCACAGGACAAUUUUAAGAGGUAACCUGCAAGUCUAGCUUGCAGUGGCACAGGUGCCUACCCUACGGUUUCAUCCUAAAUGUUUUUUAUGCAUGUUAUUGAUAC